This 428-nucleotide ribosomal RNA is filed under the name uncultured bacterium. Its description in RNAcentral is "bacterial SSU rRNA". It matches the Rfam family "Bacterial small subunit ribosomal RNA", at positions 29 to 467 of the family's 1533-position model. The record is from RNAcentral.
UGAAUCGAACGUUAGGCGGCGUGGAUUAGGCAUGCAAGUCGAGCGAGAACCCCGCAAGGGGGGACAGCGGCAAACGGGGUAGUAAUGUGUCGGAACGUGCCCUCUGGACGGGGAUAGCGGCGGGAAACUGCCGGUAAUACCCGAUGAACUCGAGAGAGCAAAGGUGUGAUUCCGCCGGAGGAGCGGCCGACAUGGUAUUAGCUAGUUGGCGGGGUAACGGCCCACCAAGGCUGUGAUGCCUAGGGAAUGUGAGAGCAUGAUCCCCACCAUUGGGACUGAGACACUGCCCAGACACCUACGGGUGGCUGCAGUCGAGAAUCUUCGUCAAUGGGCGAAAGCCUGAACGAGCGACGCCGCGUGCGGGAUGAAGGCCCUUGGGUGGGAAACCGCUGUCGCCCCCGGAUGAAGGCUGGAAGGUACUCCUUCCA